AUUGAACGCUGGCGGAAUGCUUUACACAUGCAAGUCGAGCGGCAGCGCGGGGCAACCUGGUGGCGAGUGGCGAACGGGUGAGUAAUGCAUCGGAACGUGCCAUUGAGUGGGGGAUAACGUAGCGAAAGUUGCGCUAAUACCGCAUAUUCUGUGAGCAGGAAAGCAGGGGACCGCAAGGCCUUGCGCUCUUUGAGCGGCCGAUGUCAGAUUAGCUAGUUGGUGAGGUAACGGCUUACCAAGGCGACGAUCUGUAGCGGGUCUGAGAGGAUGAUCCGCCACACUGGAACUGAGACACGGUCCAGACUCCUACGGGAGGCAGCAGUGGGGAAUUUUGGACAAUGGGCGCAAGCCUGAUCCAGCCAUGCCGCGUGAGUGAAGAAGGCCU
This 385-nucleotide ribosomal RNA is filed under the name uncultured bacterium. RNAcentral describes it as "bacterial SSU rRNA". It matches the Rfam family "Bacterial small subunit ribosomal RNA", at positions 30 to 417 of the family's 1533-position model. The record is from RNAcentral.